UGUGAGACAGUUCGGUCCCUAUCUGUCGUGGGCGUUGGAAGAUUGAAAGGGGCUGCUUCUAGUACGAGAGGACCGAAGUGGACGAACCUCUGGUGUUCGGGUUGUAUCGCCAGAUGCAUUGCCCGGUAGCUAAGUUCGGAAUCGAUAACCGCUGAAAGCAUCUAAGCGGGAAGCGAGCCUUAAGAUUAGUCUUCCCAGGCACAUAUGUUGUCCUGAAGGGUUGUUCAAGACUAGGACGUUGAUAGGCAGGGUGUAUAAGCAUUGUGAAAUGUUAAGCUAACCUGUACUAAUUACCCGUGAGGCUUAACCAU
RNAcentral lists this non-coding RNA (311 nucleotides) under Candidatus Photodesmus katoptron Akat1. Its description in RNAcentral is "Bacterial large subunit ribosomal RNA". It matches the Rfam family "Bacterial large subunit ribosomal RNA", at positions 2620 to 2925 of the family's 2925-position model. Lineage: Bacteria; Pseudomonadati; Pseudomonadota; Gammaproteobacteria; Vibrionales; Vibrionaceae. The record is from Rfam by way of RNAcentral.